CCCUACUGAUGCCCGCGU
This 18-nucleotide small nuclear RNA is filed under the name Arabidopsis thaliana (thale cress). RNAcentral describes it as "snRNA_17885". The record is from RNAcentral. Lineage: Eukaryota; Viridiplantae; Streptophyta; Magnoliopsida; Brassicales; Brassicaceae.